Hyla sarda is the source of this 405-nucleotide long non-coding RNA. RefSeq lists it as uncharacterized. Lineage: Eukaryota; Metazoa; Chordata; Amphibia; Anura; Hylidae. The transcript is spliced from 3 exons. The record is from RefSeq and is a predicted model, not a curated record.
AAAGUUUCUGUAUGCCAUAAUGAGCAUCAUCAUCACUACACAUGUUCCCAUUUUUUUAUUGUAAGAAUGUAUUCAUUUUGAGAAGAAGACAUAUAUAACAGAAGAUAGAAGAUGUAUAUAACGGGCUUUGGGCUGGGCCUAGAAACUACGUGGCUAUCCAAGCUACACUUCUUCUGAGGACCUGCAGCUAGCAGAGGGCACCUCAGUACCAAACUGAUGGAGUGUUUAAGGGGGUCUACAAGCAGAAAAUUGUACCCAAAAAUGUCCCCAUUAUUUACCUACAAAUGAAUGUUCUACACCUAUGGAUUUGCUUGCGUUCUGCCUUGGAAUAGUAGUGUGUAGCCUUCACAUGGAUAAAGAAUAUAAGCCUCAUGCCUGAGAGAAAUUGAAAACUCCUGCAUAAUA